Molecule: ribosomal RNA, 457 nt
Filed under: uncultured bacterium
Lineage: Bacteria
Description: partial 16S ribosomal RNA
Rfam family: Bacterial small subunit ribosomal RNA
Source: RNAcentral
CUACGGGCUGCAGCAGUAGGGAAUUUUCGGCAAUGGAGGAAACUCUGACCGAGCAACGCCGCGUGAAUGAAGACAUAUUUCGGUAUGUAAAGUUCUUUUAUUAGGGAAGAAUAGCCCAUGGAAAAAUGGGUGUGACGGUACCUAAUGAAUAAGCCCCGGCUAACUAUGUGCCAGCAGCCGCGGUAAUACAUAGGGGGCAAGCGUUAUCCGGAAUUAUUGGGCGUAAAGGGUGCGUAGGCGGCCAUUUAAGUCUUUGGUAUAAGUGCAGUGCUUAACGCUGUGAUGCUAAGGAAACUGAAUGGCUUGAGUGAGAUAGAGGCAAGUGGAAUUCCAUGUGUAGCGGUAAAAUGCGUAAAUAUAUGGAGGAACACCAGUGGCGAAGGCGGCUUGCUGGGUCUACACUGACGCUGAGGCACGAAAGCGUGGGGAGCAAACAGGAUUAGAUACCCGAGUAGUC